Long non-coding RNA from Lytechinus variegatus (green sea urchin), 2123 nucleotides. RefSeq lists it as uncharacterized. The transcript has 2 exons. The record is from RefSeq and is a predicted model, not a curated record. Lineage: Eukaryota; Metazoa; Echinodermata; Echinoidea; Temnopleuroida; Toxopneustidae.
UUCGUUGAUCUGUUUCUUUGAUUUUUCUGUUUUCACACAAGCUAUCUUGUUCCAAAGGUUUCAUUCUCCUUUAAUGAUACACAGUACAAUGUGAUUAUGCCACAAGUUACCAAUGAGUUUUUAAACAAGAAUUCAUGGAGACAAGGAAAAUACCAUGGUCAAUUAUGUAGUGCAAUAUUUCAAGGUGAUCAAUUCUUAAUGGAAUUAAAGAGAAAUAGAAUAUAACUAAUUUUCAAUGCCAAAAAUCUUUUAAUCAAGUCUGCUAGGGCACUCAAAAGAGAUACAGACUGAUCACUCAUAAAAGACUACAAAAAGUAAUGGAUUGGUCAUCAUCUUUUUUUUCUUACUAAAAGUUUCAGUGAAUUAUUGAAAAUCUCUCAGUUAAAAAGUUAAAUGAAUAUUCUCCCAAUAAAUAGAUUCAUAAAAAAUAACUCAUAAAAUCAUGGUCAAUGGAUUGGUAUUGUUUCAAAAUAGUGUCUGAAACAAAUUGCAUUAUUUUGUAUAAAAAGUUGUUAAAAAUACAAAUGUACAUGCACUUUGACCCAUGGCAAACAUCUUGGCCCUGCAACAUACAGACAUUUUAAUGAAUAUUUCUGUACAGGAUGUGCAAAAAUUCAUUAUUACAAUCAAAUUAUUUUUUUUUAAUGUUUCAGAGCCUAGCUCAUACCAGUGGUUGAUUUCAGUGAAAAAAAACCCUUAUCCAAAACAACCAAUUCAAAAAAUUAUUACAUGUGUCAUUUUGGUACAUUUCAAUUAUGUUUUCCAUUUUUAUUUUCUUUUUUUUGUAAAUGCAAAUUGGAAAUUCAAUUGAUUGAAAUUGAUCAUCUAAAAUAUUGCCAAGUUAGAAGUGCAUUUCCUCAACAUUUAUCUUGUAGCCAAGUAAAACGGGUGACGUAAUGUGUCCCAUAUCUUCAUUCAUACAUUACAUCAACUCACAAACAUUUCUCAUACUCGUACUAAUUAAUCAUAUUUACAACAUACUAUACAUAUAAUAUAUACAAGAUGUUAGGCACAAUGCAUAUAUGAACGGAUAUAUCAGUUUUCAUAAUUUCUCUUUACAGAUAUGCAUUAGAAAUUUCAUUAGAAAUGUGAUACAAAAAAUUCAUGAUCGGUAAUGAUUAAAUUGUGUUUUAUGCGGUUGAAUAAAAGAAUUUUAAAAAGUGCAAGAUUAAAAGAACUGUGGUUUGUGUUUAUUAGUAAGUUUAUAAAUGACAGACAUAAUUGAAAAAAAACCCUUUGAUUUUUGUUUUUUCAUGAUAAAAAUAAAUAAUUAAUAGAGAGCAUUCAUAAAUGAAUGUGGGCACUGAAAUAUCAAAAUUGAUGGAAAAUUAAAUAAAGCUAAUCUAAAAAGGAAAAUCAAAGAAGGGAACAGAACGUACAUUGUAAAGCAACUAAUCAGAAAAGCUUGAUUUUUAGCAAGUUAUUUGGAAAAAAAGAAGAAAAGUUGGAAGUGAGGAGAUGUAAAAAUAAGAAAAGACAGAAAGAAAGAGGAAGAGAGAUCAGAGUGCUUUUGUAAUUUUAUACAAUGAUUACAUACAAUAGAGGUAACUUUUUUUUUUAAAUGACAUUAUAUUAUAAGAAAGUCUUGUAAUUAGAAAGAUCAAUGAAUAUAAAUCAAUGAACAUAAUUUUGCCUGAGCUGAGGAGAUCAUUUCACAAAUUCAUCCCCUUAGAACGACACUUACGCCAAAUUAAAUCAUGGAGGUAUUAGCCGAUCUCCAUAUUUCCCAUUGAAUCCAAAGCACUGAUUAAUGAAACAUUCUUUUUUUUUAAGGAUAAUGAGAGGACCACAAUUUCAUUUAAAAUAAAAGAAAGCCCAUGAAAAAAAAAUGCAUAUACAAUGUUUUACUGACUUGGCACCUGAAUCAUGAAAAUACUGAUCUUAUAUACACGUAACAAAUACUCAUCAUCCAUCAUAAAAUCUCUAAAAACAAGAGGUAAAAAGCUGCAAAAGAUAUGACCUCUGCCAUCAUUUUCAUCAUUGAGUGGAAAUCCAUCUGGUCACUAAGUGUUAAAACCUUGUAUCUCAAAAUUUGAACAUUUUUUUUCAGGUCUUUUUUUUUAGUUUGAACAUUUUGAUGGCAGCUCAGGAAGGGCUGUAAAUAUGAAAAUGGACCUUGUAUC